Molecule: ribosomal RNA, 247 nt
Filed under: uncultured Pseudomonas sp.
Lineage: Bacteria; Pseudomonadati; Pseudomonadota; Gammaproteobacteria; Pseudomonadales; Pseudomonadaceae
Description: partial 16S ribosomal RNA
Rfam family: Bacterial small subunit ribosomal RNA
Source: RNAcentral
ACUCUAAUGAGACUGCCGGUGACGAAACCGGAGGAAGGUGGGGAUGACGUCAAGUCCUCAUGGCCCUUACGGCCUGGGCUACACACGUGCUACAAUGGUCGGUACAAAGGGUUGCCAAGCCGCGAGGUGGAGCUAAUCCCAUAAAACCGAUCGUAGUCCGGAUCGCAGUCUGCAACUCGACCGCGUGAAGUCGGAAUCGCUAGUAAUCGUGAAUCAGAAUGUCACGGUGAAUACGUUCCCGGGCCUU